GACGAACGCUGGCGGUGUGCUUAACACAUGCAAGUCGAACGGUAAGGCCCUUUCGGGGGUACACGAGUGGCGAACGGGUGAGUAACACGUGAGUAACCUGCCCUCAUCUCUGGGAUAACAGUCGGAAACGGUUGCUAAUACUGGAUAUGAGCCUGCAAGGCAUCUUGUGGGUUGGAAAGAUUUUUUGGUUGGGGAUGGACUCGCGGCCGAUCAGCUUGUUGGUGAGGUAGUGGCUCACCAAGGCUUCGACGGGUAGCCGGCCUGAGAGGGCGACCGGCCACAUUGGGACUGAGAUACGGCCCAAACUCCUACGGGAGGCAGCAGUGGGGAAUAUUGCACAAUGGACGGAAGUCUGAUGCAGCAACGCCGCGUGCGGGAUGACGGCCUUCGGGUUGUAAACCGCUUUCAAUUGUGACGAAGCUUUUGUGACGGUAGCAGUAGAAGAAGCACCGGCUAACUACGUG
RNAcentral lists this ribosomal RNA (464 nucleotides) under uncultured bacterium. RNAcentral's name for it is "partial 16S ribosomal RNA". It matches the Rfam family "Bacterial small subunit ribosomal RNA", at positions 28 to 507 of the family's 1533-position model. The record is from RNAcentral.